Molecule: ribosomal RNA, 1159 nt
Filed under: Candidatus Levybacteria bacterium RIFCSPHIGHO2_12_FULL_38_12
Lineage: Bacteria; Candidatus Levyibacteriota
Description: bacterial SSU rRNA
Rfam family: Bacterial small subunit ribosomal RNA
Source: RNAcentral
AACUACGUGCCAGAAGUCUCGGUAAUACGUAGGAGGCAAGCGUUAUCCGGAUUCAUUGGGCGUAAAGUGUGCGUAGGCGCCCCGAUCAGUCAUGCUUUAAAUACUAAGGCUUAACCUUAGAAUCUGGCACGAUACUAUCGGGGUUGAGGAUUGUCAGGGAUGCUGGAACAGUUAGUGUAGCAGUGAAAUGCGUUGAUAUUAACUGGAACACCAAAGGCGAAGGCAGGCAUCUGGGAUCUUCCUGACGCUGAGGCACGAAAGCUAGGGUAGCGAAACAGAUUAGAGACCUGUGUAGUCCUAGCCGUAAACGAUGUCCGCUAGCUGUCACUCUCAAAGCAUAGAAUGCUUUGAGAAAUUCGAAGCAUGAAUAUCGAAAUUCGAAAUAAAAAUUUAAAUGUUCAAAAUUCAAAUGAAUAAACAUUUUUCGGAUUUCGAAUUUAGAAUUUCGGAUUUUCUCAAAAAAUAUUCUAUUUUUUGAGAGUGGCGGUGUAAGCUAACGCGUUAAGCGGACCGCCUGGGGAGUACGGCCGCAAGGCUAAAACUCAAAGGAAUUGACGGGGACCCGCACAACCAGUGGAGCGUGUGGUUUAAUUCGAGACAAAACGAAAAACCUCACCAGGACUUGACAUGAUACCGUUUACUCUCCUAGAAAUAGGAGAGGAUCCCCUCAAGAACAAAAGUAAACGGAAGUUAAAAAUUAAAAGUUUAAUUAGUUAGUUGGUUAGUUCGUUAUUAGUUCAUGGUAAAUUACUGUGAACUGAACUUUGAACUUUGAAUUACCCGAAAAAACUUCUGUUUUUGAGGGGGAUGGUAUCACAGGUGCUGCAUGGCUGUCGUCAGCUCGUGCCGUGAGGUGUUCCCUUAAGUGGGGAAACGAGCGCAACCCCUAUCUAAUGUUAAAUUAUUCAUUGGAGACUGCCCGAGCUUAGCUCGGGAGGAAGGAGGGGAAGACGUCAAGUCAGCACGGCCCUUAUGUCCUGGGCUACACACACACUACAAUGGCGAAAAACAAUGAGUCGCAAGCGCGCAAGUGCAAGCUAAUCUCUGAAAUUUCGCCUCAGUUCAGAUUGGGGUCUGAAACCCGACCUCAUGAAGUCGGAAUUGGUAGUAAUCGCGGAUCAGCAUGCCGCGGUGAAUACGUUCUCGGGUCUUGUACACA